ACGGAAGGCAGCAGUGGGGAAUAUUGCACAAUGGGCGCAAGCCUGAUGCAGCAACGCCGCGUGAGGGAAGACGGUUUUCGGAUUGUAAACCUCUGUUCUUAGUGACGAAGAAGUGACGGUAGCUAAGGAGCACGCCACGGCUAACUACGUGCCAGCAGCCGCGGUAAUACGUAGGUGGCAAGCGUUAUCCGGAAUUACUGGGUGUAAAGGGAGCGCAGGCGGGAUAGCAAGUCAGCGGUGAAAUGUAUGGGCUUAACCCAGGAACUGCCGUUGAAACUGUUAGGCUUGAGUGGAGGAGAGGCAGGCGGAAUUCCGAGUGUAGCGGUGAAAUGCGUAGAUAUUAGGAGGAACACCAGUGGCGAAGGCGGCCUGCUGGGCUGUAACUGACGCUGAGGCUCGAAAGUGUGGGGAGCAAACAGGAUUAGAUACCCUGGUA
This 436-nucleotide ribosomal RNA is filed under the name uncultured Clostridium sp. RNAcentral describes it as "partial 16S ribosomal RNA". It matches the Rfam family "Bacterial small subunit ribosomal RNA", at positions 341 to 792 of the family's 1533-position model. Lineage: Bacteria; Bacillati; Bacillota; Clostridia; Eubacteriales; Clostridiaceae. The record is from RNAcentral.